RNAcentral lists this long non-coding RNA (348 nucleotides) under Homo sapiens (human). Its description in RNAcentral is "lncAB604.1". Lineage: Eukaryota; Metazoa; Chordata; Mammalia; Primates; Hominidae. The record is from RNAcentral.
UUCCUCGUACCGCAGGGCCCCCUCCCUUCCCCAGGCGUCCCUCGGCGCCUCUGCGGGCCCGAGGAGGAGCGGCUGGCGGGUGGGGGGAGUGUGACCCACCCUCGGUGAGAAAAGCCUUCUCUAGCGAUCUGAGAGGCGUGCCUUGGGGGUACCGGAUCCCCCGGGCCGCCGCCUCUGUCUCUGCCUCCGUUAUGGUAGCGCUGCCGUUAGCGACCCGCUCGCAGAGGACCCUCCUCCGCUUCCCCCUCGACGGGGUUGGGGGGGAGAAGCGAGGGUUCCGCCGGCCACCGCGGUGGUGGCCGAGUGCGGCUCGUCGCCUACUGUGGCCCGCGCCUCCCCCCUUCCGAG